This 200-nucleotide long non-coding RNA is filed under the name Elaeis guineensis (African oil palm). RNAcentral describes it as "long non-coding RNA (EGUI_LNC019785)". Lineage: Eukaryota; Viridiplantae; Streptophyta; Magnoliopsida; Arecales; Arecaceae. The record is from RNAcentral.
CUGUCACUGAAUUUGAAAUUCGGAUAGUCCGAUACCAAAGCACAGUGAGUUGCUUGCAAGUCACUGAGGCAGCCUCAGGUCCAAGAGACAUAUAUACCCAUAUCCCAUCAGAGCAGCCCUUGACAGCAGAGUGCUCCAAAAGUAAUCAAGUUUAGUGAAAUGUACUCCUACAUAUCACUCGUAUGCCAUAUCCAUGUCAC